This 328-nucleotide unclassified non-coding RNA is filed under the name soil metagenome. Its description in RNAcentral is "partial contains 5.8S ribosomal RNA, internal transcribed spacer 2, and large subunit ribosomal RNA". The stretch from base 1 to 120 matches the Rfam family "5.8S ribosomal RNA", at positions 35 to 154 of the family's 154-position model. The record is from RNAcentral.
GAUGAAGAACGCAGCGAAAUGCGAUAAGUAAUGUGAAUUGCAGAAUUCAGUGAAUCAUCGAAUCUUUGAACGCACAUUGCGCCCCUUGGUAUCCCGAGGGGCAUGCCUGUUCGAGCGUCAUUUCACCACUCAAGCCUGGCUUGGUGUUGGGCGACGUCCCCUUUGGGGACGCGCCUCGAAACGCUCGGCGGCGUGGCACCGGCUUUAAGCGUAGCAGAAUCUUUCGCUUUGGAAGUCGGGGCCCCGUCUGCCGGAAGACCUACUCGCAAGGUUGACCUCGGAUCAGGCAGGGAUACCCGCUGAACUUAAGCAUAUCAAUAAGGGAGGA